Molecule: ribosomal RNA, 620 nt
Filed under: uncultured bacterium
Lineage: Bacteria
Description: bacterial SSU rRNA
Rfam family: Bacterial small subunit ribosomal RNA
Source: RNAcentral
AAACCCCUUUCAGCAGGGACGAAAUUGACGGUACCUGCAGAAGAAGCUCCGGCUAACUACGUGCCAGCAGCCGCGGUAACACGUAGGGGGCGAGCGUUGUCCGGAUUUAUUGGGCGUAAAGAGCUCGUAAGCGGUUCGAUAAGUCGGGUGUGAAAACUCUGGGCUCAACCCAUAGACGCCACUCGAUACUGUCGUGACUAUAGUCCGGUAAGGGAGCGUGAAAUUCCUGGUGUAGCGGUGAAAUGCGCACAUAUCAUGAGGAACACCAGCGGCGAAGGCGGCGCUCUGGGCCUGUCCUGACGCUGAUGAGCGAAAGCGUGGGUAGCGAACAGGAUUAGAUACCCUGGUAGUCCACGCCGUAAACGUUGGGCACUAGGUGUGGGGCCUUAUCAACGGGUUCCGUGCCGUACCUAACGCAUUAAGUGCCCCGCCUGGGGAGUACGGCCGCAAGGCUAAAACUCAAAGGAAUUGACGGGGGCCCGCACAAGCGGCGGAGCAUGUUGCUUAAUUCGAGGCAACGCGAAGAACCUUACCUGGAUUGAACUACGCAGGAUAAGCCGUAUAGAUACGGUGUCCUUCGGGGCCUGUGAUAGGUGGUGCAUGGCUGUCGUCAGCUCGUG